CUAACCUGCUCACUGAAAAAGUUUUAAAGAGCCGCGGUAUUUUGACCGUGCAAAGGUAGCAUAAUCAUUAGUCUCUUAAUUAGGGCCUUGAAUGAAUGGUUUGACGAAAAAUCAUCUGUCUCUUAUUAAAUUAUAGAAUUUAACUUUUGAGUCAAAAGGCUUAAAUUAUUCUUAAAGACGAGAAGACCCUAUAGAGCUUAACAUUUUAUUUUUAUAUAAUUUUUAGUUAAUUUUUUUAUAUUUAAAGAUAAUGUUUUGUUGGGGUGAUAUGAAGAAUAGAUAAACUCUUCAUUAUAAAAUCAUUAAUUUAUGUUUAUAAUGAUCCAUAAUUUAUGAUCAUAAGAUUAAGUUACCUUAGGGAUAACAGCGUAAUUGUUUUAGAGAGCUCAUAUUGACAAAACAGAUUGCGACCUCGAUGUUGGAUUAAGAAUAAUUUUGGGUGCAGAAGCCCAGUAAUUAGGUCUGU
Molecule: ribosomal RNA, 466 nt
Filed under: Prumna primnoa
Lineage: Eukaryota; Metazoa; Arthropoda; Insecta; Orthoptera; Acrididae
Description: partial 16S ribosomal RNA
Rfam family: Archaeal large subunit ribosomal RNA
Source: RNAcentral